AUGAACGCUGGCGGCGUGCCUAAUACAUGCAAGUCGAGCGAACGGACGAGAAGCUUGCUUUUCUGAUGUUAGCGGCGGACGGGUGAGUAACACGUGGAUAACCUACCUAUAAGACUGGGAUAACUUCGGGAAACCGGAGCUAAUACCGGAUAAUAUUUUGAACCGCAUGGUUCAAAAGUGAAAGACGGUCUUGCUGUCACUUAUAGAUGGAUCCGCGCUGCAUUAGCUAGUUGGUAAGGUAACGGCUUACCAAGGCAACGAUGCAUAGCCGACCUGAGAGGGUGAUCGGCCACAGUGGAACUGAGACACGGUCCAGACUCCUACGGGAGGCAGCAGUAGGGAAUCUUCCGCAAAGGGCGAAAGCCUGACGGAGCAACGCCGCGUGAGUGAUGAAGGUCUUCGGAUCGUAAAACUCUGUUAUUAGGGAAGAACAUAUGUGUAAGUAACUGUGCACAUCUUGACGGUACCUAAUCAGAAAGCCACGGCUAACUACGUG
Molecule: ribosomal RNA, 496 nt
Filed under: uncultured bacterium
Lineage: Bacteria
Description: partial 16S ribosomal RNA
Rfam family: Bacterial small subunit ribosomal RNA
Source: RNAcentral